UUGGUUCAAAUGUUGCUGUUUC
RNAcentral lists this non-coding RNA (22 nucleotides) under Rattus norvegicus (Norway rat). Lineage: Eukaryota; Metazoa; Chordata; Mammalia; Rodentia; Muridae. The record is from RNAcentral.